ACCGGCGGCUCGAGUGGUGGCCACUAUUACUGGGCUUAAAGCGUUCGUAGCUGGCUUGUUAAGUCUCUGGGGAAAUCUUCCGGCUCAACCGGAAGGCGUCCCAGGGAUACUGGCAGGCUAGGGACCGGAAGAGGUGAGAGGUACUCCAGGGGUGGGGGUGAAAUCCUGUGAUUCGGUGGGGACGAACGGUGGCGAAGGCGACACACCAGGAUGGGUCCGACAGGGAGGACCGCAACCUAGGAGAGCAAGGCG
This 252-nucleotide ribosomal RNA is filed under the name uncultured prokaryote. RNAcentral describes it as "partial 16S rRNA". It matches the Rfam family "Archaeal small subunit ribosomal RNA", at positions 475 to 726 of the family's 1478-position model. The record is from RNAcentral.